GAUGAACGCUGGCGGCGUGCUUAACACAUGCAAGUCGAACGAAGCAUUUGCGACAGAUUUUUUCGGAAUGAAGUUGCUUAUGACUGAGUGGCGGACGGGUGAGUAACGCGUGGGUAACCUGCCUUGUACUGGGGGAUAGCAGCUGGAAACGGCUGGUAAUACCGCAUAAGCGCACAAUGUUGCAUGACAUGGUGUGAAAAACUCCGGUGGUAUAAGAUGGACCCGCGUCUGAUUAGCUAGUUGGUGAGAUAACAGCCCACCAAGGCGACGAUCAGUAGCCGACCUGAGAGGGUGACCGGCCACAUUGGGACUGCGACACGGCCCAGACUCCUACGGGAGGCAGCAGUGGGGAAUAUUGCACAAUGGAGGAAACUCUGAUGCAGCGACGCCGCGUGAGUGAAGAAGUAAUUCGUUAUGUAAAGCUCUAUCAGCAGGGAAGAUAGUGACGGUACCUGACUAAGAAGCUCCGGCUAAAUACGUG
Molecule: ribosomal RNA, 481 nt
Filed under: uncultured bacterium
Lineage: Bacteria
Description: partial 16S ribosomal RNA
Rfam family: Bacterial small subunit ribosomal RNA
Source: RNAcentral